CCGGUUGAUCCUGCCGGACCUGACUGCUAUCGGAUUGAUACUAAGCCAUGCGAGUCAUUGUAGCAAUACAAGGCAGACGGCUCAGUAACGCGUAGUCAACCUAACCUAUGGACGGGAAUAACCUCGGGAAACUGAGAAUAAUGCCCGAUAGAACACUAUACCUGGAAUGGUUUGUGUUCCAAAUGAUUUAUCGCCGUAGGAUGGGACUGCGGCCUAUCAGUUUGUUGGUGAGGUAAUGGCCCACCAAGACUAUUACAGGUACGGGCUCUGAGAGGAGUAGCCCGGAGAUGGGUACUGAGACACGGACCCAGGCCCUAUGGGGCGCAGCAGGCGAGAAAACUUUGCAAUGUGCGAAAGCACGACAAGGUUAAUCCGAGUGAUUUGUGCUAAACGAAUCUUUUGUUAGUCCUAGAACCACUAACGAAUAAGGGGUGGGCAAGUUCUGGUGUCAGCCGCCGCGGUAAAACCAGCACCUCAAGUGGUCAGGAUGAUUAUUGGGCCUAAAGCAUCCGUAGCCGGCUCUGUAAGUUUUCGGUUA
Molecule: ribosomal RNA, 538 nt
Filed under: uncultured archaeon
Lineage: Archaea
Description: bacterial SSU rRNA
Rfam family: Archaeal small subunit ribosomal RNA
Source: RNAcentral